CCCGGGUUGCCCGGUCGACCGGCGCUAUUUUGUACUGGGCUGCCAAAGUGUGUUCGCCGGCGACCAGUAGACAUGGCAAGCGCCAGCUCUAGGGCUCCAAAGUGCGGAAAUGUGCCCGUUCACACGGAUCCAAAGUAGAAGAAGUCAUCUGGGCAUCAUUGCGUCGUGUUUGGAUGCCAAAACAACCAGCGGAAAAGGAGCAGGUUGCUUAGCGCUGUUUGCGAAGAGCACAAGACACGUAGGGAAUCGUGCCGGUGCGGUGUUUUCAGCCUGCGCCGAUUUCCAUCCGCAACGAAGAAUGCCAAGCUGCGCCACCGGUGGAUAGCUGCAGUGAAUAGGAAGAACUACCAACCCAGUGAAAAUGCACGAUGUGCAGGUGGUGAAGGGCAGGCGUCUGCUAACCAGGCAGUCAAACGACCUCGCCAGUUGGUUGCCAAGCGCGGCCAACCCAGUAGAGACCAUUACAAACAAGACCAAACUGAAAGUGCA
Non-coding RNA from Dermacentor albipictus, 489 nucleotides. NCBI's taxonomy places the organism in Eukaryota, Metazoa, Arthropoda, Arachnida, Ixodida, Ixodidae. The record is from RefSeq and is a predicted model, not a curated record.